RNAcentral lists this signal recognition particle RNA (270 nucleotides) under Mus spicilegus (steppe mouse). RNAcentral's name for it is "Metazoan signal recognition particle RNA (ENSMSIG00000031163.1)". It matches the Rfam family "Metazoan signal recognition particle RNA". From Rfam's summary of the family: The signal recognition particle (SRP) is a universally conserved ribonucleoprotein. It is involved in the co-translational targeting of proteins to membranes. The record is from RNAcentral. Lineage: Eukaryota; Metazoa; Chordata; Mammalia; Rodentia; Muridae.
GCCGGGCGUGGUGGCGCACGCCUUUAAUCCCAGCACUUGGGAGGCAGAGGCAGGUGGAUUUCUGAGUUCGAGGCCAGCCUGGUCUACAAAGUGAGUUCCAGGACAGCCAGGGCUACACAGAGAAACCCUGUCUCAAAAAACCAAAACCAAAAACAAAAACAAAAACUGAUUCCACACCGCCCCCCAAGACAGGGUUUCUCUGUUGCCCUGGCUGUGCUGAAACUUGCUUUGUAGACCAGGCUGGCCUCAAACUCAGAGAUCCACCUGCCU